Molecule: ribosomal RNA, 506 nt
Filed under: uncultured bacterium
Lineage: Bacteria
Description: bacterial SSU rRNA
Rfam family: Bacterial small subunit ribosomal RNA
Source: RNAcentral
CCCAGACUCCUACGGGAGGCUGCAGUCGAGAAUCAUUCGCAAUGCGCGCAAGCGUGACGGUGCGACGCCGCGUGCGGGGAGGAAGCCCUUCGGGGUGUAAACCGCUUUUCAGGGGUAUGAAGUGCCUCCGCCCAAUAAGCGGAUGGCAUUGACGUCAACUCUGGAAUAAGCCACGGCUAACUUCGUGUCAGCAGCCGCGGUAAGACGAAGGUGGCGAGCGUUGCUCGGAAUCACUGGGCUUAAAGAGGGCGUAGGCGGCUCGGUCUGUCGGGUGUGAAAUCCCUUGGCUCAACCAAGGAAUGGCGUCCGAUACUGCCGGGCUUGAGGCAUUCAGGGGCGACUGGAACUCUCGGUGGAGCGGUGAAAUGCGUAGAUAUCGAGAGGAACGCCAAUAGCGAAGGCAGGUCGCUGGGGAUGUCCUGACGCUGAGGCCCGAAAGCCAGGGGAGCGAACGGGAUUAGAUACCCCGGUAGUCCUGGCCCUAAACGAUGCACACUAGGUGGGGG